AAGUCGUAACAAGGUAACCGUAGGUGAACCUGCGGUUGGAUCAUUACCAAAUAUCCAACGGGGGCUUCUUUUAGCCCCCUACCCCACCUCUUGUGCAACGUAACGUAUUUGGCGGGCCUACAACCAUGAUGCACUUCAUCGGCCCUUGUAGCAGCUGUUUCACGACUGCUGUCACAGGGUGAGUCGUUGGGUCAUUGUAGUCGUAGCUUGCGAUGCAUCAUGCAUCGACCGCCAACAUAAACACCCUUGUAUUCCUACAACCCAACCCCCUGACUUUUAUAGGCCGCUUGUGCGUUUGCACGAGGGGUAAAUAAUUGAAAAACAACUUUUGACAACGGAUCUCUUGGCUCUC
This 352-nucleotide unclassified non-coding RNA is filed under the name fungal sp. RNAcentral's name for it is "partial internal transcribed spacer region". The stretch from base 1 to 46 matches the Rfam family "Eukaryotic small subunit ribosomal RNA", at positions 1786 to 1831 of the family's 1831-position model. The record is from RNAcentral. Lineage: Eukaryota; Fungi.